This 329-nucleotide long non-coding RNA is filed under the name Salvia miltiorrhiza (redroot sage). RNAcentral's name for it is "long non-coding RNA (SMIL_LNC012564)". Lineage: Eukaryota; Viridiplantae; Streptophyta; Magnoliopsida; Lamiales; Lamiaceae. The record is from RNAcentral.
AUUCUUUAAAAUCAUACAGAAUUUCAAUCAAAUACACCCCUAAAUGGAGACCAACUAAAAAAAUACCAAAGUAACAAAAAAAGACCCAAAAUAAAUGGAGUCCGAAAAUCGAGCCUAAUUUCUAAUGAGCACUAAUUUCUGAAAAAAAAAAACAAUGGAGUCCAUUUCCAUUUCCAAAAUAAAAAAUCGAGUCCAUUUCCAAUUUCCCAAAAAUGAAGCCCAAUUUCUAAUGAACACUAAUUGAGUCCAAAACAAUAAAUAAAAUAUUUUAAUUAUAAAAGGCAGCCCUAAUUCUUCUUCUUCAACCUGCCGCAUCUGCUCUUCUUCUC